GCGCCAUUUUAUUUGAAUAUUAUAUUGAACAUUUUCAUACUAGAAUACUACAACUAAAUUAACUCUCAAUUAAUUUUGAUUAAACCUAAUCACCUAUAUGACAUCAAACAAAUUAAGGAAAUAUAUUUCUCGUCAACAACUUUUGGUCCAGGGUAUCAAAAGGAGAACCCCAGUACUAUUAGCAGAUAGUAAAGGAGCCAGGCUAGAGAAGGAGCUGCUCCCUGACAACGUUAUCCAUUCAAAUAUUGUAUUUCGGUGUAAACCUGGGGCAUCAACCCAAGAUUGUAAAAAUUGGUUGCAAGAAAAUAUUAGAUCGGAAAUAGACACCUAUGGUGACAUUCAUUUAUAUGUUUGGGCAGCCACCUGUAAUCUCACCACAAAAAAUAAAGACAGAUCUAUUUCGCUAACAACAGAAAACAACGAUACGGUUGAAUUUAUUAUCCAUCAAUACAGACAAAUUCUCAACCUCAUCAAUAAAUAUCCUUCUUGCAGAGUUACUUUUUUAAAUAUACCGGUGUACUCCAUAUCAAAAUACAACGAUUAUAUCAAAGUACAAAAUCCAAUAAACAUUAUACAACAAGACAACAAUCUACUACAGCAAAUCAAAAUCCUGAAUGAGAAAAUCCAUGAUCUAAAUCUUUCACUGCGAGUCACGUCUCCAGACUUCAACAUAAAUCUUUGUACCAACCCAAAACAUACCACUUGUAGAGGCCAACAUUCCACUACCAAGCUGUUCUACAAUUUUGAACUUUAUCAAGACGGGAUUCAUCCCAGAUACCUACUUAACACCGUCUGGCUCCACAAAAUCUCAUUACAAAUACGUUACGAUUGCUGGUUCAAGUAGAUGGUAAGUGUGGAUGUCUCCACGCUAUACCAACAAUACAACAAAUCUUCACAAGAUCUUCCUUCAUUGAAUCAUCUUAUUUGCUGAACACUUAUUGAAAAUAUGUAAUAUGAACCCGUAAUAAAAUUUAAUUUGUCAAAUGUUAUAUGUUUUAUAGUUUUAUAUUCGGAUAGUACCUAACAACGUUUCUUUUUAAUAAACAAAGGCUGCGGAUCUUUGCUAUAUUCUUAUACUGCUAUUCUGAGAAGUCCGUGGUAAGUGUGGAUGUUCCCACGCUAUUCCAGUUUUAUACCUUGAAAGAUUAGUUCAACACUUUUAUCAUAUACACGAACAUAGGCAACUCUCAAAUAGGAUUUUUACUAUAUACUAAGUCUGCAAUUCAGAAAAGGCCGUGGUAAGUGUGGAUGCUCCCACGCUAUUCCAAUUUUAUACUUUUAAAUAUCAGCUCAAUACUUUUAUCAUAUACAUGUACACAGGCAAUUCUCAAAUAGGAUUUUUGCUAUAUACUAAGUUCGCAAUUCAGAGAAGGCCGUGGUAAGUGUGGAUGUUCCCACGCUAUUCCAAUUUUAUACUUUUAAAUAUCAGCUCAAUACUUUUAUCAUAUACAUGUACACAGGCAAUUCUCAAAUAGGAUUUUUGCUAUAUACUAAGUCCGCAAUUCAGAGAAGGCCGUGGUAAGUGUGGAUGUUCCCACGCUAUUCCAAUUUUAUAAUUUUAAAUAUCAGCUCAAUACUUUUAUCAUAUACAUAUACACAGGCAAUUCUCAAAUAGGAUUUUUGCUAUAUACUAAGCCUACAAUUCAGAGAAGGCCGUGGUAAGUGUGGAUGUUCCCACGCUAUUCCAAUUUUAUGCGAUUUAUGCUUCUAUUAUCAACCUAACUAUUUUACCAAUUAUUCGUGGAUCAAGAUUCAUAUCAGGAAUAUCUAUUUAUAGCAUUUGGUACAGUACCCAUCAGUGAAUUAUUCUCCUAGGUAAGUGUGGAUGUCACCACGC
RNAcentral lists this long non-coding RNA (1837 nucleotides) under Mytilus galloprovincialis (Mediterranean mussel). Lineage: Eukaryota; Metazoa; Mollusca; Bivalvia; Mytilida; Mytilidae. The record is from RNAcentral.